GACGAACGCUGGCGGCGUGCUUAACACAUGCAAGUCGAACGGAAAGGCCCUGCUUUUGUGGGGUGCUCGAGUGGCGAACGGGUGAGUAACACGUGAGUAACCUGCCCUUGACUUUGGGAUAACUUCAGGAAACUGGGGCUAAUACCGGAUAGGAGCUCCUGCUGCAUGGUGGGGGUUGGAAAGUUUCGGCGGUUGGGGAUGGACUCGCGGCUUAUCAGCUUGUUGGUGGGGUAGUGGCUUACCAAGGCUUUGACGGGUAGCCGGCCUGAGAGGGUGACCGGCCACACUGGGACUGAGAUACGGCCCAGACUCCUACGGGAGGCAGCAGCGGGGAAUAUUGCACAAUGGGCGGAAGCCUGAUGCAGCAACGCCGCGUGCGGGAUGACGGCCUUCGGGUUGUAAACCGCUUUCGCCUGUGACGAAGCGUGAGUGACGGUAAUGGGUAAAGAAGCACCGGCUAACUACGUG
Molecule: ribosomal RNA, 468 nt
Filed under: uncultured bacterium
Lineage: Bacteria
Description: partial 16S ribosomal RNA
Rfam family: Bacterial small subunit ribosomal RNA
Source: RNAcentral